RNAcentral lists this ribosomal RNA (253 nucleotides) under uncultured bacterium. RNAcentral describes it as "partial 16S ribosomal RNA". It matches the Rfam family "Bacterial small subunit ribosomal RNA", at positions 524 to 776 of the family's 1533-position model. The record is from RNAcentral.
UACGUAGGGUGCAAGCGUUGUUCGGAAUUACUGGGCGUAAAGCGCGUGUAGGCGGCGCACUAAGUUCGAUGUGAAAGCCCUGGGCUUAACCCAGGAACUGCAUUGAAAACUGGUGGGCUUGAGUCCGGGAGAGGGUCGCGGAAUUCCUGGUGUAGAGGUGAAAUUCGUAGAUAUCAGGAGGAACACCGGUGGCGAAGGCGGCGACCUGGACCGGUACUGACGCUGAGACGCGAAAGCGUGGGGAGCAAACAGG